RNAcentral lists this long non-coding RNA (406 nucleotides) under Rattus norvegicus (Norway rat). RNAcentral describes it as "long non-coding RNA NONRATT018510". The record is from RNAcentral. Lineage: Eukaryota; Metazoa; Chordata; Mammalia; Rodentia; Muridae.
CUGUGAGGUUAUGUUAUUCCAGAAGGAGCCAGAGUGAGCCGCCCGUCACAUUUUUACUUUAAGAGGCGUCCUCAUACUCACUUUGAUUCUCACCCUACACGCACCCAAGGUAUCAUUAACUUCGCUUUACAGGUGCUGAGGUCGCACCACGGUCAGGGAUGCCAGACCCUGGAGAAGCCAGGUGGCGUGCUGCCUCCCUGCCACCCACUCGCUUUGCUCUUCCUGGUCCUCACUACGUUGUCAAACGCCGGGGAGCCGGGCUGCAGAGGCGCGGAGGCCUGGGCUGAGGCGAGGUGUGGAGGCGGCCGGAGGCCACAGAGGCCGGAAGUGCGGGCCGGAGCGCUCCGGUGCUGCGCCGCGAUGGCGAGAAUGCUGGCCGUCCGGGUGGCGGCGGGGCUGGCGGCCG